This 486-nucleotide ribosomal RNA is filed under the name uncultured Enterobacterales bacterium. RNAcentral's name for it is "bacterial SSU rRNA". It matches the Rfam family "Bacterial small subunit ribosomal RNA", at positions 42 to 517 of the family's 1533-position model. Lineage: Bacteria; Pseudomonadati; Pseudomonadota; Gammaproteobacteria; Enterobacterales. The record is from RNAcentral.
GCAGGCCUAACACAUGCAAGUCGAACGGUAGCACAGAGGAGCUUGCUCCUUGGGUGACGAGUGGCGGACGGGUGAGUAAUGUCUGGGAAACUGCCCGAUGGAGGGGGAUAACUACUGGAAACGGUAGCUAAUACCGCAUAACGUCGCAAGACCAAAGAGGGGGACCUUCGGGCCUCUUGCCAUCGGAUGUGCCCAGAUGGGAUUAGCUAGUAGGUGGGGUAACGGCUCACCUAGGCGACGAUCCCUAGCUGGUCUGAGAGGAUGACCAGCCACACUGGAACUGAGACACGGUCCAGACUCCUACGGGAGGCAGCAGUGGGGAAUAUUGCACAAUGGGCGCAAGCCUGAUGCAGCCAUGCCGCGUGUAUGAAGAAGGCCUUCGGGUUGUAAAGUACUUUCAGCGAGGAGGAAGGCGUUGUGGUUAAUAACCGCAACGAUUGACGUUACUCGCAGAAGAAGCACCGGCUAACUCCGUGCCAGCCGGCG